This is a long non-coding RNA of Equus asinus (donkey), 2128 nucleotides long. The record is from Ensembl. NCBI's taxonomy places the organism in Eukaryota, Metazoa, Chordata, Mammalia, Perissodactyla, Equidae.
GCAGGCCAGCCCCUAGAGAAGGCUUCCUUACCUGAGAUUUUCCCUUCUGACACUCUCACUGUUUGAGUCUUGCUCUGUUUUCAUUCUUUUUUCUUAGAAACUGUUUAUUUUCCAUCAACCUUACUUCCAUUUUCUGUUGAACAGUCUGUGGAAGGACAGACUAAGACCAUUCAGUGGUUGUACCCACCCGUUUGGUGGCCUGAGCAGUGGCAGUUGCAGACCAAUCAGACUCAGUAGGGAACUGCUGAACAGGCUCAGGGGACACCUGCACCUUCCGACCAGCCGGCGACCUCUGGUUGGGUAGCAGUAAAUUCGGGAGUUGGAGCAGUCCAUUCACCCUGAAAUUCCUCUUGGCCACAGCCAUUUCAGCCGCGGCCUGCUCUUCCUUUUCAAUCUCUUCAGGAUCUCUGAGAAGUAGAGACGAGACGCGACUUCCAAGGGAGUUCAUGGGAUGGCGCCACGCAUGCGCAGAAUUUCCCGGACCACCAUCCAUCAUCUCAGUCCCGCUCAGUGAGCUCCCUGUGGUUGCACGGGAUGACACUGUCCACAUGGCAGAGGAGGGUCUGUGUUAUAUAACAAUGGUUGGCAGGUUAACGUAGGACGCCUCUGUGAGAGGCUGGUGGUCGGCCCUGGGAUCAGUAACCAGCGGAGGUUGGGGCUGCAGGAAGGCCCCCUGGAACUGGUGAGUGAAGUGGCCUCCAAAGGAGUGGUCUACCUGCAGCAGCAAACUUCAGCACAGCUCAUUGGCCGGUAUUCCUGAAGGAAAUGACUUGGACAUCAGCCGGGUUUUCAGUGGCAACAAUGGCGCAAGCUGCUUGCAGAAGCUUUUCCCAGGACCCUCAACCACGCUCUGUGGGGUGGUUGACUCCUCACAGUCCCAGCUGCUUUCCUGUGGAUGCACCCCACUGGCCGAUACGUCUUGUAAAGUGUGGCUUCCACAACUGGACACGAGAUUCCAGUUUAGGAAAACGUAUCACUGGACUCAGGGAGGCAUCGGCGGCGUUCUCUCAGGGCAGCCACUGUCUUCUGAGCGACUCCUGCUUUCUUUCAUGGGACUCUGCAAGGGGCGGGGCACAGGAUGCAGAACUGGAGUGCAAGGAGAGACUGCCUGCAGAAUGAGUGACUGGAGACCUGCUCAUAGUAACAUCCACAAGGAAUUUCAACAGUGAACUAUAUUGAACUGGGGGGAUUGCUCUUCCCAUUCUAAGUUGCCUUCUACUCCUGUUGUGUUUAUAUCACAUAGGCGCAUGAAAUUUAGGACUUGGUAACUUCCAGCUCUCCCUGCAUCAUUUGGCCUGGCAAUGGCUACUAGGUCAGAUCUAACUACUAAGACCUCAAACUCAACCCAAAUCAUAAUCUCCCCAAAUUUUGUGCCUUCUUCCUAUGGUUUUUACAAGGGGCUCUUAAUUAAUGCCAGUGAGGUGUUUGUAAAACCGAGUUCUCUCAUUGCAGACGUGACAAGCCAUAAUUCGUAAUAACGGAGCUACCUUUUCCCACUUGUCUCGGCCUGGAGUGAAGGGGCUCUGCUGUGAUUUAUUACCUCGCUGCAAAACCUUUGAUAAGUGGCCACUAAAUGGCUCCUCAUUACUCAAAACUCUUCCAAUUCCUUAAACUAAAGUCCUCCCCAAACCUCACACAAGCUUCUUGUGUUCAGGGAGAAAUGAAUCAGGGACUUUCUCGCUAAACUAUCUUGGCAUAAAAAAAUAUCAUAAAUGAGAGGGGAGAAAAUCUUGUUUGCUAAAGGGCUGCUGGGUGAACUGCCUCUUGGCCUUUUGAUAGCAUCUUUGAAAUGGAAAUGGCCAGCUGCCUGACCUUCUGUUCAGUGACCCUUUUUGUACAAAGUCAAAUUGCCGCCGCCUCACAGCAGUGAUUCACCUAUGGACACAAACAGGAUUUCUAUUUUUUUUCCAAAUCUUUUUUUUCCUGGUGCAUUUGUUACUGUGAACAUUUUUUUGCUAUUCACAUAAAAGACGUCGUGGUUAAAAAAAAGAAGCCCUUUGCAUCAAAAGGAUUGUAACUCAUAAUGAUUUCAAAAUACUAGGGAAGUGUGUGUCUUUAAUUUUGUUCUCCAUCUGAGCCUUUAAAUGUAUUGUAAUGUGAAAAGGCCAGUGAAAAGACUAUAUUCUGG